Molecule: non-coding RNA, 190 nt
Organism: Oryza nivara
Lineage: Eukaryota; Viridiplantae; Streptophyta; Magnoliopsida; Poales; Poaceae
Source: Rfam
UUUAAAUGCAGUUGUAGGUUUCCGUGUCUAACAUUUGACCUUUCGUCUUAUUUAAAACUUUUUAUAAUUAAUAUUCUGAUAAAACAUGAAUAGUACAUUGUGAUUGGCUUUUUUUUUAAAAAAAUUAUAAUUUUUUUAAAUAAGACGAACGGUCGAAUGUUGGAUACGAAAAAUCACAACUACACUUAAA